Molecule: ribosomal RNA, 601 nt
Filed under: Alcanivorax jadensis T9
Lineage: Bacteria; Pseudomonadati; Pseudomonadota; Gammaproteobacteria; Oceanospirillales; Alcanivoracaceae
Description: bacterial SSU rRNA
Rfam family: Bacterial small subunit ribosomal RNA
Source: RNAcentral
GCUACCAGGCGUCGAGCGGCGGACGGGUGAGUAACGCGUGAGAAUCUGCCCAUUUGUGGGGGAUAACUCGGGGAAACUCGAGCUAAUACCGCAUAAUCCCUACGGGGGAAAGCAGGGGACCUUCGGGCCUUGUGCAGAUGGAUGAGCUCGCGUCGGAUUAGCUUGUUGGUGAGGUAAAGGCUCACCAAGGCGACGAUCCGUAGCUGGUCUGAGAGGAUGAUCAGCCACACCGGGACUGAGACACGGCCCGGACUCCUACGGGAGGCAGCAGUGGGGAAUCUUGGACAAUGGGGGCAACCCUGAUCCAGCCAUGCCGCGUGUGUGAAGAAGGCCUUCGGGUUGUAAAGCACUUUCAGUAGGGAGGAAGGCUUACCGCUAAUAACGGUGAGUACUUGACGUUACCUACAGAAGAAGCACCGGCUAAUUUCGUGCCAGCAGCCGCGGUAAUACGAAAGGUGCGAGCGUUAAUCGGAAUUACUGGGCGUAAAGCGCGCGUAGGCGGUUUGUUAAGUCAGAUGUGAAAGCCCCGGGCUCAACCUGGGAAUUGCAUUUGAAACUGGCAGGCUAGAGUGCAGUAGAGGGAGGUGGAAUUUCCGGUGUA